RNAcentral lists this ribosomal RNA (253 nucleotides) under uncultured bacterium. RNAcentral describes it as "partial 16S ribosomal RNA". It matches the Rfam family "Bacterial small subunit ribosomal RNA", at positions 524 to 776 of the family's 1533-position model. The record is from RNAcentral.
UACAGAGGGGGCAAGCGUUGUUCGGAAUUACUGGGCGUAAAGGGCGCGUAGGCGGCCUUCUAAGUCGAACGUGAAAUCCCCGGGCUCAACCCGGGAACUGCGUCCGAUACUGGAAGGCUUGAAUCCGGGAGAGGGAUGCGGAAUUCCGGGUGUAGUGGUGAAAUGCGUAGAGAUCCGGAGGAACCCCAGAGGCGAAGGCGGCGCCCUGGCUCGCAACUGACGCUCAGACACGACAGCAUGGGGAGCGAACGGG